GGAAAAGUAGUCUAAAGCAAGGACGUCGGUUUCAUAAUUCGAAAGUGGAGUUUAUUAUGCCCCUUUUCUA
Molecule: transfer RNA, 70 nt
Filed under: Saccostrea mordax (small rock oyster)
Lineage: Eukaryota; Metazoa; Mollusca; Bivalvia; Ostreida; Ostreidae
Description: tRNA-Met
Rfam family: tRNA
About the family: Transfer RNA (tRNA) molecules are approximately 80 nucleotides in length. Their secondary structure includes four short double-helical elements and three loops (D, anti-codon, and T loops).
Source: RNAcentral